GUCUAUGGCCAUGCCACCCUGAACAAGCCCAUCUCUUCUGAUCUCGAAAGCUAAGCAGGGUUGGGCCUGAUUAGUAUUUGAAUGAAAGACCACCUAGGAAGACCAAAUGUUGUAUGCG
This 118-nucleotide ribosomal RNA is filed under the name Pteropus alecto (black flying fox). The record is from RNAcentral. Lineage: Eukaryota; Metazoa; Chordata; Mammalia; Chiroptera; Pteropodidae.